UCCACCCCCAAGCUCUUCAAUUUUUAUUUUUUUGAUGAUUUGGUGAAUGAAGAUGCGUUGAAUUUGAGAAUGGCUAGCUGUUAAUUUUUUUUUUUUUUUUGAAAAAGUUAAUAAUAUGGGUAUUUUUUAAUUUAAAUCCUUAUGAGUAGUGUGCUUUAUAUAUUAGUAUGCAUUUGUAAUUUCACUGUAAUUUUACAUUCUAAUUUUUUGAUGAUUUGAUGUAUGAAGAAUAUGGGUUGAAUUUGAUAAAUCGUAGCAGUUAUUUUUUGAAGCAGUUAACAAUAUUGAGCAUUUUUUGGGGGAAAAAAUAAGUUACAAACCUUCAAACCCUUAUAAGUUGUGCGCAUUAUAUAGUAGUAUAUAUAUUAGUUAGAUUUAAAAGGUUUAAUGCUAUCUUUUACUAGUAUUUUUAAUUUGAGAUUUUUAUGCUUGAUUUGUUAGGCUGAGAUCUGUCAUAUAUAUUUUGCUCAAUCAGCGGAGAGCUAUGAGUUGGCAGAAGAAGCCUGUUCACCUCUGCCUGGAUUCGUUGAAUUGCCUACUUGCCCUGUUUGUCUUGGCUUAUGGUAUUAAUCAUUUGGUGCUUCCACCAAGAGACUACCUCUUUGCUCCGUCACUGAGUGAUAUAUGCCAAGCUGUGGACUUCAUUCAUGGUUAGUGUUUUCAACAAAUUGCAAUGUAUGCUGUCUCAACUUUGGAGUAAUGAAAAAAUUGUGCCAACUAUUUCCAACAAAGCUCUGAAUCUUCAUGGAGGCAUGUGUUAUAUUCAUUUUCAAACAGUAACUUCGGUAAUCUGAUGCACAUUAAAUUUUGUCAUCAAUAGAUUACAAAGAUGGAAAUCCCACCAGUUAUGGAUUAAGAUGAUUAAGAAAAUCAAUUUAAAUACAUUAUUUUUCAAUUGUAAAUUUUUAUCCAAAAGCUUGAUCAGUUGGUCCUCAUCCUCCAUCUGAUUCACUUCUAUCGGGAUAUAGGGUGGUCAACAAAUGCACCUAGUUAAGAUUUAUUGCUUUGUGUGUUGGCCCUAUCAUUGAAUCAUCCCGAUAUAUAUGGAAGCAAUGUUUGUACAUACACAUUUGUGAAGAUGAUUUAACACCAAAAUGCAAGGAUGUUUCAUGCUA
This is a non-coding RNA of Camellia sinensis, 1115 nucleotides long. The record is from RefSeq and is a predicted model, not a curated record. Lineage: Eukaryota; Viridiplantae; Streptophyta; Magnoliopsida; Ericales; Theaceae.